AAGCGAAAUGGAUUUUGCUGCAGUGGCAAGUGAAACAGUCAAAUUUACAGAAAUGUAUAUCAUGGAAGUGAAAAAGGCUUGAGAUAAUUAACAAAAUAGAAGCUAAAAGGGCGAGCAGCGCCACCAGAGAACUAAACGUAAACACACUACGUUGGUCGGUAUAGGGCUAGGAUGAUGUUGGGGACGAAGUGAUUCCAUCGCCAACAGUGUCGGCUUUUUAACGAAAACUGAAAACUUGAGUAGUUCGUGUCACUUCUCUGAAUAGAAGUGUAGUGGAUAUCCUGGGAAAAGCUUAAAGAUAUCGAUUUGGUGUCAAUCCGUCAGGAACACAAUUUCUGCAGCUCCUGAGGAGACGUUAUGUUCGAUUAACAUGUGCUCCAGGUGAAUUUGAAGUAUCGAAGAGAAUCAAAUCGUGCCAAUCGAUGCCUUUUGGACUUGUCAUCUUAGCUGGGAAUGGCAAUGAACUCUACUGAAAGCUAUUUGCAAAAACUGUGGCUUGUUCACUAUGAAUGUAGAGAGUUUGAUUGAGGAGCUGUGUGUAAAAUGGUUCAAGAGUCAUGAACGUUUUUGAGGUUGGUUCAACUCUCCUAACAAAUGUCUCUAUGAUAUUAUCACUACCACUGCUGGUAGCACAUAAUUAUGUGACAUUGUACUGGGUACACUUCAUGGUUGGAUGAUGGCUGUAAUUUAUGGUACAGGUGUCUAAAGGGGGAGGUGUUUAAUGCUUUCGUCAAGGUGAUUCCAAACUUUUACAGCUGCGAAGCGAAUGUUGAAUUUACCAUAGUUCAAUUCCAUUAAUUUGUUGACUAAAGCAAGAAAGCUGGCUUGGGACAAAAUGUUACCAUUCAAGGGUAAACAAUAUACUGUACAUAUUGUGUCAAAAGAGGUGAGCAGUCUGGAUCAGUGUAGGAAGUUGAGUGAUAAAGCUGCUACAUGAAAUACAUGUACCUAUAUCAGUCUCUUGGUCAGCUGGCAGUUCAUAUACUUUCUCCCAUGUGAGCAAUACAGAUCGCUGUCUUAGUAAAGAAGAGAGAAUACACCUUUUUUUCUAAUCAUAGUAACAACCAAGGGGAAAAUUUGUGAAUUUCAUUUAAGAUGUUGUGCAUGCAUUCUUCCAAUCUUAUUGCCUGGUAAGAAAAUGUUGGGUUUUUUCCCAACUAGAAAAUUAAUUGUUGUUAACAUCAUCAAAAUGACAGCAACCUAUCUUUUAAACCAUUCAAUUUCAAAGUUUUCAUUGACUUGUGUUGCUGAGAGCUACUUGUAACUUUAGCCAAGGUAAAUGAACUAGCUUAUUUCAUGACUGAAUAUUAGACUCAUGUUCAAUUUUGUUGAAUUGUGCGUAUAGCUGAGUGCUUAGGAUGUGUCUUGCCUCUAAGCCAGCCAAACCACACCACUUAUUGUUACAUUAUUUUUGCAGUUUUUUUGCCUGAAUUUUCCUUCCAGCAACAGGAGAAAUUACUAGUAACUCUAAAGUAAAUCCAAUCAUACAUGAUUCAGAGGACAAUUUUGAUAUUACAUAAUAAUAUUACUAAAAGACA
Molecule: non-coding RNA, 1538 nt
Organism: Pocillopora verrucosa
Lineage: Eukaryota; Metazoa; Cnidaria; Anthozoa; Scleractinia; Pocilloporidae
Source: RefSeq, a predicted model, not a curated record